UGGGGCUGAGCAAUUUGGGAAGCGCUGAAGUUUUCUGCUCCUGUCCUGUACUGGUUUUCACUAAGCCAACUGUGAGAUUUCUUUGUUGCAAUAUUGGGGUCUGAGAUAACACUGCUGGAGGCUGGAGGCAAGAAACAUAGCCGAAACCAUCUUUUAGUGUGUGCUGUUAUUUACUAGCGCUGUGAACCAAGGAAGCGAAAAAACAAAGAGCCCGAAGACUGCACAGUUCCAGCUUGUAGGCCCUGGAGACAGUCUGGAGUCCUCAGACGGACAGAAAGAAGACAUCAGAAGGGCAACCUGUGGUGCCUGUGGCUGCUGAGUACAGGCGUGGGUGACUGAUUUUUAAGAAAUCGGCAACACGGAAGCUGAUUAUAAAAUAUUCAUAAGAAGCUGGCUUUUACAGUUGUUCUGAUGUUCCUUUCAGCUGGUCCUAUAGCCCCCUUUCUCAGUAAUGUCUCCCCAGUGAAAGGAAAAAGACUGCAGAGGCUUCAGACUGACGGACGCUCAUGCCAACUGUGAAGUUGAAACAAAGCCAGUGACCAGCUGAAGAGGCCCCUCCUGCCCAGCAGCCACCCACAUGGUGCAGUUGCAGCCAGUAGUAAUCUUUGCAAGAAGCAGAGAAGCCCAGAACACUCAUGAGUCAAAACCAUGCCCUUCCUUGUGUGUAUCCCUGUCUCGUUCAGAUUGAUGCUCCUUCCAUUUGGAUCCUGGUAUGAAUAUGCUUGUUACUGUACGAGUGUAAAAAGCUUUGCCCAAAUGUGUUAAUGUAUGAAGAGACUGGAUUUUUUUUGGGGGGGGGAGAGAGUUAUUUUUAUCAAAACACAGUGUUCGUUCUUGAGAGUGAUCUAGAAAAUAAAAAGCAGUUGGAAAAGACAGCAAAGCAGUCACAGGCGAUCCACAGAGAUGCUCACACCACCACACAGAAACACCACACCAUGCUCCCAGACUCUGAGCAGGGAGCUUGACUCUGUGACAUACUAUGGCUGCUGCCAGGGGUCAACGUCAAGCCAGACAAAGGUGCAGAAGCUUCCUGAAGUGUAGUGAUAAACUGAGUCAGGAGACAAUAAGAACAGCAACGACACAAAAGACAACGUCCUUGGAGGGAGCCAAGUGGGUUUGCUUAAGGAAGGAUGCUCCCUUAAAGAGAGAAUGGGAAAUCAACCUUUAAAGGAUGUAAAAACAAAACUAGAUAAAUGGGAAGAUAGGAGAAAAUAGAGUCCUUAAUGCAAGCAUAAGGGUAAGCAGCAGACGGGCAGAGGAGAUCCACAUGGUGAGUCUUGGAGACUACACAUAUCUCGUCUUGAUUUUGCCUGACACUUGGAACCGCUGUCUGUGUGUCUAGUAGAGAUGCUGCACACAGGUAUCUCCCCUCCCCCACCCCGAAUGUCACCUAAACCAAACUAGAACUAAAGUUCCAGUUCUGUGUCACUACAAAGAUUGGUUGGUGAUUCCUGAAUAGAAGUCAUGAUUCUUCUGUUCGUGAUUGCUUGUUACCAAGUUUAUUCCAUACAGAAAAUGUUUUGCAUAUUAAAUCUCAUGGUUGCUAUGAAAACGACACAUUAUCCACCUUUCACAGGUGAAGGAACUGAUUUUGGUGAGGUUGAGCGCCUGGCCAAGGUGCUACGUGCAGCUAUGCACAUUCAAGGUUGUGGUCAUGAAACUCAGUCCCUAGUCUGACUUUUGUGAUGAGUCCCAACACAGUUGUCACCUUUACCAUAGCCCUUAAUGCCUGUCUACAGAAAGACAUGGCUUUUCUGCUGACUUACAGCCACAGUAUUUCCUACUUCCAUGCUGAAUUAUACCAGAAUGAUAAAACGUAUUUUCAUGGAAGAAAAUUGAGAAUUUAGUGAAAUACACUGCUUGCCAGCAGUUUGUAUGUUUCUUCUUCAUUUUGGUCUGAGACUUUUGAUUUAGUUCUGCAUGAAAUCUCAAAGUUUUAAGAGCAGUAAGGGAAGGGCCUUAAGUUACCUGUUAUAGUACUUUGUGACAGAAGAUGUAAAUCUACAACCUGUAAUCAGAGUGACUUUACAAACAAACAACAAAAAGACACCCCUCCCCACAAAAACUCAAAUCAAACCAACCAACCAAACAACAAAA
RNAcentral lists this long non-coding RNA (2097 nucleotides) under Mus musculus (house mouse). RNAcentral's name for it is "Mir100 Mirlet7a-2 Mir125b-1 cluster host gene". The record is from RNAcentral. Lineage: Eukaryota; Metazoa; Chordata; Mammalia; Rodentia; Muridae.